Ictalurus punctatus (channel catfish) is the source of this 336-nucleotide long non-coding RNA. The record is from Ensembl. NCBI's taxonomy places the organism in Eukaryota, Metazoa, Chordata, Actinopteri, Siluriformes, Ictaluridae.
CGAGGUCUCUGUAAACGGACGUCGUGAUUUUUCUGGACACCCCUCUAGGAGUUUGUGGUUCAACCUGCGGAAUUUAAAGGCAAAAUGGCGACAGGGUGAUGGAUGGCAGCCGAAUAUCCAGCACUUAACCGAGUGUCAUGGCGAUCUUGUCGUUGCCUACAAAUUUCCAGCGUCGGAAAGGCUGGCGAUCACAUGUCUGGAUGGUGCCACUGUUUUGGAAACUAUUGGAUUAAUGACCUCGCCACACCAUCCCCACGCCCCCUGCUGCUAAACCUUGUAUUAAUUGGGACGUCAAAAGCCACUUCUCCCACUCUUUAUUGUAUACGUUUACCAUUA